UACGGAGGGGGCUAGCGUUGUUCGGAAUUACUGGGACGUAAAGCGCACGUAGGCGGCUUUGUAAGUUAGAGGUGAAAGCCCGGGGGCUCAACUCCGGAAUUGCCUUUAGACUGCAUCGCUAGAAUUGUGGAGAGGUAAGUGGAAUUCCGAGUGUAGAGGUGAAAUUCGUAGAUAUUCGGAAGAACACCAGUGGCGCAAGGCGACUUACUGGACACAUAUUGACGCUGAGGUGCGAAAGCGUGGGGAGCAAACAGG
This 255-nucleotide ribosomal RNA is filed under the name uncultured bacterium. RNAcentral's name for it is "partial 16S ribosomal RNA". It matches the Rfam family "Bacterial small subunit ribosomal RNA", at positions 524 to 776 of the family's 1533-position model. The record is from RNAcentral.